GACGAACGCUGGCGGCGUGCUUAACACAUGCAAGUCGAACGAUGAAGCGGGUGCUUGCACUCGUGGAUUAGUGACGAACGGGCGAGUAACACGUGAGUAACCUGUCCUUUUCUUUGGGAUAACGGCUGGAAACGGCUGCUAAUACUGGAUAUUCAGGCUGCAUCGCAUGGUGUGGUUUGGAAAGGUUUUUUCUGGGAUUGGGUGGGCUCGCGGCCUAUCAGCUUGUUGGUGGGGUGAUGGCUUACCAAGGCUUUGACGGGUAGCCGGCCUGAGAGGGUGGUCGGUCGCACUGGGACUGAGAUACGGCCCAGACUCCUACGGGAGGCAGCAGUGGGGAAUAUUGCACAAUGGACGAAAGUUUGAUGCAGCGACGCCGCGUGGAGGGUGUAGGCCUUCGGGUUGUGAACUCCUUUUUCUCGCGAAAAAGGCACAGUUUUGGCUGUGUUGAUGGUAGUGGGGGAAGAAGCGCCGGCUAACUACGUG
RNAcentral lists this ribosomal RNA (483 nucleotides) under uncultured bacterium. RNAcentral describes it as "partial 16S ribosomal RNA". It matches the Rfam family "Bacterial small subunit ribosomal RNA", at positions 28 to 507 of the family's 1533-position model. The record is from RNAcentral.